Molecule: ribosomal RNA, 304 nt
Filed under: uncultured bacterium
Lineage: Bacteria
Description: partial 16S ribosomal RNA
Rfam family: Bacterial small subunit ribosomal RNA
Source: RNAcentral
CAGCAGUCGCCGCGGUAAUACGUAGGUGGCAAGCGUUGUCCGGAAUUAUUGGGCGUAAAGGGCUCGCAGGCGGUUUCUUAAGUCUGAUGUGAAAGCCCCCGGCUCAACCGGGGAGGGUCAUUGGAAACUGGGAAACUUGAGUGCAGAAGAGGAGAGUGGAAUUCCACGUGUAGCGGUGAAAUGCGUAGAGAUGUGGAGGAACACCAGUGGCGAAGGCGACUCUCUGGUCUGUAACUGACGCUGAGGAGCGAAAGCGUGGGGAGCGAACAGGAUUAGAACCCCUGUAGUUCCUGUCUCUUAUACA